Long non-coding RNA from Cygnus olor (mute swan), 820 nucleotides. RefSeq lists it as uncharacterized. NCBI's taxonomy places the organism in Eukaryota, Metazoa, Chordata, Aves, Anseriformes, Anatidae. The record is from RefSeq and is a predicted model, not a curated record. The transcript is spliced from 4 exons.
GCAAGUAGUCCCAUGGAAGAUCUGAUCAGGAACAUCAUGAUAUUCCAGCAAAAUUACAAGAAACACAGCAGAACUAAACAAGGGGAAGUGUUGAGCAAUCUUACCCUUAGACUUGUCCGUCUACAAAUAAACGGGAGGUAGAAAGCAGACUCAGAGCUUCUCCUUUUAAUUGAUUAUCUGAGAUCUCUCCAGCCAUGUGAGGAGUGUGGGCAAAUAUUUUUUGCUGCUGCUCUGUUAUGUAGAGCAACAACAACAACAAAAAAGGUGACUUUCCUUUGAGGCAUGGGAGGAGUGUUAAGCUUUGUGUAGGCACCUGACUGUAUCUCAAACUAGUAGAUGAGGCUGUUUCCCAUUGCAUUUUGCAACACUGUAAAACCCUAGAAAAACAGAUGAACAAAAUAUUGAUAAUUGGGUCCUUAAGGAAGAGCGAUUUAAAUCUUUCAUUUUUAUUGGCAGUGCUGCUUUUCUUCCUCCACAUCCAGAAGUAACGGAGGUCAAGCGAAUGGCUUCUACUUCCUUGUUGCAGUGCGGGUUAAUCUUCAGGAGACCUUGUACUUCAUGAACCAGGAGUUCAACCUGAGAAGGUUUUGAGGCCUUUCACAAAAGGGCAUAGCUGAACAAUAGCGCUUGAGCUAAAAACUAGCCUCUAGCAAUGUAACCUGCCUGUUGAUUCACAUCUGCAGUUACUGCUGGCUGGAAUCCUUUCAUUUUGGUGACCUGCAGAACCAAGAUGCAACUUACAACAAAAAUCCUUCUCACAAGCUUACAAGACAUUUAUGUUAUUGGCAUCUGACUUUAUCAUGAGUCUCAAGUAAUACUG